RNAcentral lists this unclassified non-coding RNA (329 nucleotides) under soil metagenome. RNAcentral's name for it is "partial contains 5.8S ribosomal RNA, internal transcribed spacer 2, and large subunit ribosomal RNA". The stretch from base 1 to 120 matches the Rfam family "5.8S ribosomal RNA", at positions 35 to 154 of the family's 154-position model. The record is from RNAcentral.
GAUGAAGAACGCAGUGAAAUGUGAUAAGUAAUGUGAAUUGCAGAAUUCAGUGAAUCAUCGAAUCUUUGAACGCACAUUGCGCCCCUUGGUAUCCCGAGGGGCAUGCCUGUUCGAGCGUCAUUUCACCACUCAAGCCUGGCUUGGUGUUGGGCGACGUCCCCUUUGGGGACGCGCCUCGAAACGCUCGGCGGCGUGGCACCGGCUUUAAGCGUAGCAGAAUCUUUCGCUUUGGAAGUCGGGGCCCCGUCUGCCGGAAGACCUACUCGCAAGGUUGACCUCGGAUCAGGCAGGGAUACCCGCUGAACUUAAGCAUAUCAAUAAGCGGAGGA